ACGCUCGACACCUACGGGAAGCAGCAGUGGGGAAUAUUGCACAAUGGAGGAAACUCUGAUGCAGCGAUGCCGCGUGAGGGAAGAAGGUUUUCGGAUUGUAAACCUCUGUCUUUGGGGACGAUAAUGACGGUACCCAAGGAGGAAGCUCCGGCUAACUACGUGCCAGCAGCCGCGGUAAUCUGAGGCGGGCUGGCAAGGC
RNAcentral lists this ribosomal RNA (199 nucleotides) under uncultured bacterium. Its description in RNAcentral is "partial 16S ribosomal RNA". It matches the Rfam family "Bacterial small subunit ribosomal RNA", at positions 326 to 539 of the family's 1533-position model. The record is from RNAcentral.